RNAcentral lists this small nuclear RNA (191 nucleotides) under Echeneis naucrates (live sharksucker). RNAcentral's name for it is "U2 spliceosomal RNA (ENSENLG00000013990.1)". It matches the Rfam family "U2 spliceosomal RNA". From Rfam's summary of the family: U2 is a small nuclear RNA (snRNA) component of the spliceosome (involved in pre-mRNA splicing). Complementary binding between U2 snRNA (in an area lying towards the 5' end but 3' to hairpin I) and the branchpoint sequence (BPS) of the intron results the bulging out of an unpaired adenosine, on the BPS, which initiates a nucleophilic attack at the intronic 5' splice site, thus starting the first of two transesterification reactions that mediate splicing. The record is from Rfam by way of RNAcentral. Lineage: Eukaryota; Metazoa; Chordata; Actinopteri; Carangiformes; Echeneidae.
AUCGCUUCUCGGCCUUUUGGCUAAGAUCAAGUGUAGUAUCUGUUCUUAUCCGUUUAAUAUCUGAUACGUCCCCUACCCGGGGACCAUAUAUUAAAUAGAUUUUUGGAACAGGGAGAUGGAAUAGGGGCUUGCUCCGUCCACUCCACGCAUCGACCUGGUAUUGCAGUAUCUCCAGGAACGGUGCACUUCCU